GACGAACGCUGGCGGCGUGCUUAACACAUGCAAGUCGAACGGAAAGGCCCUGCUUUUGUGGGGUGCUCGAGUGGCGAACGGGUGAGUAACACGUGAGUAACCUGCCCUUGACUUUGGGAUAACUUCAGGAAACUGGGGCUAAUACCGGAUAGGAGCUCCUGCUGCAUGGUGGGGGUUGGAAAGUUUCGGCGGUUGGGGAUGGACUCGCGGCUUAGCAGCUUGUUGGUGGGGUAGUGGCUUACCAAGGCUUUGACGGGUAGCCGGCCUGAGAGGGUGACCGGCCACAUUGGGACUGAGAUACGGCCCAGACUCCUACGGGAGGAAGCAGUGGGGAAUAUUGCACAAUGGGCGGAAGCCUGAUGCAGCAACGCCGCGUGUGGGAUGACGGCCUUCGGGUUGUAAACCGCUUUCGCCUGUGACGAAGCGUGAGUGACGGUAAUGGGUAAAGAAGCACCGGCUAACUACGUG
RNAcentral lists this ribosomal RNA (468 nucleotides) under uncultured bacterium. RNAcentral's name for it is "partial 16S ribosomal RNA". It matches the Rfam family "Bacterial small subunit ribosomal RNA", at positions 28 to 507 of the family's 1533-position model. The record is from RNAcentral.